AAAUUGAAGAGUUUGAUCAUGGCUCAGAUUGAACGCUGGCGGCAGGCCUAACACAUGCAAGUCGAGCGGUAGCACAGAGAGCUUGCUCUCGGGUGACGAGCGGCGGACGGGUGAGUAAUGU
This 121-nucleotide ribosomal RNA is filed under the name Klebsiella aerogenes. RNAcentral describes it as "partial 16S ribosomal RNA". It matches the Rfam family "Bacterial small subunit ribosomal RNA", at positions 1 to 116 of the family's 1533-position model. RNAcentral also lists the same sequence under 4 other names. Lineage: Bacteria; Pseudomonadati; Pseudomonadota; Gammaproteobacteria; Enterobacterales; Enterobacteriaceae. The record is from RNAcentral.